UACCUGUGUUACGACGGUUAUGUAGGUCAGAUACAUGAAAAUGUCGCCUGACAGCAAGAAAAAUAGACUAUUAUUAGGUUUAAUUUGAUACAGAAUUGAGGAUCUGGAUUGUAUAUAGGGCCUAAUCUUGUAGAAAUAUUCCAUGUAGCCGCUAUCAUCAAGAUGAAGACGAUCUGUAGUAAUAUAGUAGGCCUAUAUUAUUUGUGUGUAUUAACCACAUGGAGAUGCAUCCUAUCUUUAGAAUGUGAAAAUGGAAAAGUUUAUGAAUUGUUUGCACCAUAUGAUAAGGUUGAUGAUCCAAUGUAUAUCACGUCUCCAGAUUAUCCCAACUACUAUCCACCGAAUGUUAUAUGUGGAUUCUAUUUUAAAACCGAAGAGAAAAAUCAGAUAGUUUCUGUGUUAGUAGAAGAUAUAGCAAUAGGGAAUCCAGGCUCAUGUGAUUACGACAAGUUACUAGCAUUUGAUGGACCAACAAAUGAGUCUAAGUUAUUGGGAAGUUCUUGUUUUAAUAAAGUCAGGUUUGAGAGUAGUGGUAAUUACAUGUAUGUACAGUUUCAGUCCGAUAGAUUCGUAUCAUCCCGAGGGUUUAAAGCCAGAUAUUAUGCCCUUCUUCAUGAUGAUAAUUACAAGCUUUCAGGAGGUGCUAUAGCUGGUAUAUGUCUUGCAGUGAUUGUUUUCUUGAUUUGUGCUAUUGUGUUUAGUUUAUGGGGCAGUGUAAAAAGACUGUAUAAAAGAUGCUGCAGAAAGAAUCAGUCCAGCAAUGAUGAGCUCCCUUCUCGAACUUUCUCAUCAUUUCAUUCGCUGGAGAACAGGAGGAAUGACCUACCACCGCCCGGUUUCUCGGCUAGCCAAUUAUCAAACCACCAACCGACUCUCGCCCCACCGCCUUACGAGUCCGUGGACUAUUCAGCAGACCUGCCCCCUCCCCCUAGUUAUGACGAAGUUAUGUUUGAUAGCUAUAGCUAUUCUACGUCAGAACAGCCACCAGCAGCUUCCCCCGGGCCCAUUUAUAAAUAAACAAUGUUUCCAGUGGCGGACACAAGAAAUUUGGAGGAUUUCCCUUCACCCCACCCAAGGUAAGCCUCUGGGGUCGGAGACAUAUAAACCAAGGAACAGCCACCAGCAGCUUCUCCCGAGCCAUUUUAUAAAUAAACAAUGUUUCCAGUGGCGGACACAAGAAAUUUGGGGGAUUUCCCUUCCCUCGAAGGAAGCCUAGGGGGUCGGAGAAAAAUUGUACAUACAAACCAAGGAAUUUUCCUUACCCUCUAUACUUCGGUCCUUGGUGUUUCAAAAAGUCUGAUUUAUUAAUAAAAAAUGUUUCCAGCGACGUACCAGAUGUAGAAUAUCUGAUUAGGAAAAUUCAGAAGAUUUUUAUUCCCCAGAUUAAGAGGUACUCUGUGGUCCUCUUCCGAGAAAAUUGGUAAAUUUGGUUAGGGUAAACCAAGUGAUUUCCCUAUCCCCAACUUUGGGGUCCUUGUCUUAGAAAAUUUUGUAAAAUUGGGGUAUCAAUGUUGAUUUUUAUCCGCCACUGCUGUUUCCAAAAGACCAGGCCCCAAGUUCACAAAGCAUUCUCAGACUUCAGUUAAGAAUUUACUCAACUUUCAGUCAGUGUUUAUGAGAAAUAUCUUGAUACAAUAAAAUAUUUGAUACAAUAAAACAAUAAAAGUUUUAUAAAGGGCUAUAAGGCGAACAAUUUUGAGUAAAUUCUUAACUUAAAGAUACAUUAUGGGAGAUAAGAUAAAGAGAUGGCAGUUCUCGCUAUAAUAGUUAAAAACUAGAUAGUGUAAAGGUAAUUUGCUGAAAAUUUCAGUCAAAUUGAUCCACUAUGAGCCGAGAAAGAAGACGGUGAAAUUUUUGCAUAGUCUCGGUUAUCAUUACUAAAAUCAUUAAUAUAAACAGCAUAGUCUCGAUUAUCCACUUUUUCUGAUUUAAUUAUCUUUUGCCGUAAGCGGCAUAUAGGAAUCUAAUCCAGCCUACAUCGAAGGCUAGCCUUGACAUCGAGAGUUUAUUAUGGUCUGGAUAAGUUAAUUAAUGUCUAAUUGAUAAUUUAGAUAACAUUUCAGGCCUAAAGAAAGACUUGUAAUAAGCAGAUUUUGCUCUUGCAUAAUGCAUGUUUAAGUCUGAGAAUGUUUUGUGAACUCAGGGCCUGAAACAACAAGAGUACAAUAUGUAAAUACAUGUAUAUUGAAAGUUAUAAAUAAUUUUAUUAUAAUUUAUUUCAAUGCAUAUUAGGUCAAAGUCUCAUUGUACACUUAAUACAUGUUAGGUCAAAGGCCAAUAUAGUACACUCAAUACACUUAUGAUAAUAAUGAUCUACUAGGGCUGUCCCAAGGCUCAAAUUUGGUGUAUAAGUGUAGCUUGGACCAAGAAGUAACAUAGGCCUGGUGAUGUCGGACUACCGCUUCUGGUUUCAGAGUUAUACAUUUUUCGGUUCCGGGCACAACCUUUGCAGCACCAGGUCAUCCGCUAGUAAUCAUAUAAAUGAUAGUACACUCAAUAUACGUUAGCUCAUGAUAGUACACUCAAUACAUGUUAGCUCAUGAUGAUAUAAAUGAUAGUACACUCAAUACAUGUUAGCUCAUGAUGAUAAUGAUAAUACACCCAAUACAUGUUAGCUCAUGAUGAUAAUGAUAUAUAUGAUAGUACACUCAAUACAUGUUAGCUCAUGAUGAUAGUACACUCAAUACAUGUUAGCUCAUGAUGAUAUAAAUGAUAGUACACUCAAUACAUGUUAGCUCAUGAUGAUAAUGAUAUAUAUGAUAGUAAACUCAAUACAUGUUAGCUUAUGAUGAUACACUCAAUAAAUGUUAGCUCAUAAUGAUAAUGAUAAUACACUCAAUACAUGUUAACUCAUGAUGAUAAUAAUAUAAAUGAUAUUACACUCAAUACAUGUUAGCUUAUGAUGAUAUAAAUGAUAGUACACUCAAUACAUGUUAGCUCAUGAUGAUAAUAGUAUAAAUGAUAUUACACUCAAUACAUGUUAGCUCAUGAUGAUAUAAAUGAUAGUACACUCAAUACAUGUUAGCUCAUGAUGAUAAUACACCCAAUACAUGAUAGCUCAUGAUGAUAUAAAUGAUAGUACACUCAAUACAUGUUAGCUCAUGAUGAUAAUAAUAUAAAUGAUAUUACACCCAAUACAUGUUAGCUUAUGAUGAUAAUAAUAUAAAUGAUAAUACACUCAAUACAUGUUAGCUCAUGAUGAUAUAAAUGAUAAUACACCCAAUACAUGUUAGCUCAUGAUGAUAUAAAUGAUAGUACACUCAAUACAUGUUAGCUCAUGAUGAUAAUAAUAUAAAUGAUAGUACACUCAAUACAUGUUAACUCAUGAUAAUAUAAAUGAUAAUACACCCAAUACAUGUUAGCUCAUGGUGAUAUAAAUGAUAGUACACUCAAUACAUGUUAGCUCAUGAUGAUAAUAAUAUAAAUGAUAUUACACUCAAUACAUGUUAGCUUAUGAUGAUAUAAAUGAUAGUACACUCAAUACAUGUUAGCUCAUGAUGAUAUAAAUGAUAAUACACCCAAUACAUGUUAGCUCAUGAUGAUAUAAAUGAUAGUACACUCAAUACAUGUUAACUCAUGAUGAUAAUAAUAUAAAUGAUAUUACACUCAAUACAUGUUAGCUUAUGAUGAUAAUAAUAUAAAUGAUAGUACACUCAAUACAUGUUAGCUCAUGAUGAUAAUAAUAUAAAUGAUGAUACACUCAAUGCAUUAUUGAAAUUAACAUUUAUUUAUUAUGUAUCAGUUCAAUCCAUUGGAUUCUAUUGUACAAUUUCAUUAUUCAAUUUAUCAUACCCAUACGCAGUUUCAUUAUUCAAUUUUAUCAUAGACAAUUACAUUAUUCAAUUUAUCAUACGCAGUUUCAUUAUUCAAUUUAGUAGACACUAUAACAUUAUUCAAUUUAUCAUACACAAUUACAUUAUUCAAUUGAUCAUACACAGUUUCAUUAUUCAAUUGAUCAUACACAGUUUCAUUAUUCAAUUUAUUAGACACUAUAACAUUAGUCAAUUUAUCAUACACAAUUUCAUUAUUCAAAUUAUCAUACACAUUAUCAUCUUUCAAUUUAUCAUACACAAUUUUAUUAUUCAAUUUAUCAUACGCAGUUUCAUUUGAUUGUAGGCAGUUUCAUUAUUCAAUUUAUAAUACACAUUUUCAUCAUUCAAAUUAACAUACACAAUGCCAUUAUUCAAUGGCAUAAUUUCUGUAUCUACUUUAUCAUACUAUAUGCUGUACAAUGAUUUAUUGAAUUUAUCAUACGCAAUUUUAUAAUUCGAUUUGUCCAAACAUAAUUUCCAUUCUCAGUUAUUAUGCAUUUUUGUUUCUUCAUUUGAUUUGAUAUUAUUGUAUCUGUAAGAUAAUUUUGGAAUUGGUCCAUUUUAUAUUGUGGACUGUGGGUAUGGGUUUUCUUCAGGUCCCCCUCCUUAAGGUACCUACGUACAAUCAAAUUAUUGAAAUAAAAUUGUACUAUAUAUAUUUAUAUGUUAGUCCCAAUAUGACCUAGUUUCUCCCACUUUAUUUUUUGAUAAAUCUUUGACAAAAUAGGUUUAAAUUGUAAAGAACGUUAUAAACGCUUACAAAGCGGCCAGCGGUCACUGUUUUAGUUAUAAAUGUAACCUACCUUCGCCCAUUCAACGGCCAUUAAAUUGUUGAUGCCUUGUAUAUAUUGUUUUUGUAAAUAAUAUAAUCCAUUGUUUAUUGGGUAUUGUGGUUUAAAUGUACAUAUAUUGUAUCAUCAUAUUUUAUAUUUUAUCUUAGCUGCAAUAUUUGUAGCCAUGAUAAUACUUAUUCACAGCUACAAUUGAUGCACUAUUCGAGGCUUUGAGCAAGUAAAAUUAGGUUCAAUUGCAAAAUUUUCAACACAUAUCAUUAUAGUUUGCUUGAAAAUAAGUAAUUAUGUUACAAAUAGUGAAGAGUGGAACACUGAAAUCUUAAUCUUAUCUUCCCGAACAGUUUUUCUGUAUUUACGAGUGACAUAAAUUCACGUGAUUCUGGUUCGGCGGCCAUUUUAAAAUGAACGGAAAUUUCGCAUAGCAGUUGGGUUUAAUCAUUUCAUAUUAUGCGGUAAAAUUUCACCUUUAUUUCAAUUGGUUUAUUAUAUGUUAAGCUAAUUGGAUAUUAAGGGAGUUAUAGGCUAGUAACUUUUUUGUAGUCAAAUUGUCCACUUCUGUUGCUGGAGCAAGACGGAAGAAAUCAGUAGUGGAACCAUUUCUAAUUUUAUCAUUGCUUGGUAAAGUUUACCCAAGGCUAUAGUCUGUUUCUGUUUUCUGGGUCUUGAUAAAUAAAUAGCCCCCUUAAUAACAGAAAGGCAAUCUGAUUAAAACACAGAUCCUAUUUCGUUUCGUUUUUAUGGUUCAAAAUUUCGUUUUACUUGUAUUCAAUGCACUAGGAUCUGGAAGAGUUGUUAUAAUUAAAGUGUUCUGAAUGGUGUGAGGUAUUAGCCAAUUAAACGGUCUGUUACGGUGAGCUUUAGGCGUGUUUUGCACGGAACUGUGGGUAACCCACUAGUAACAUCAAUGCUGAUUGGUUAAUCAAAUGUCUGACGUCAUAGGGUCAAAAGCCGCUCGUAUGACCUCUGACGCGACCUAUCGCUACAACCGGCCAGAUCUUCAUGUAGUGUAAGCCAUCAAAGUAUAACAAACAAAACGAAAUAUAGAUCUGUAUUUUAACCUGAUUGCACGACAGGUGUCUUGUUUAAGAUUGCAAAAAUUAUAAAUUUGAAACAGUAGGCUACAGACAAGUAUUUUUGGUUUUCAAAUGUCUUUUUUUACGAAGAAAUAUGAAGAAACAUUUUUACAGAUGUUUGUGAAGAACAGAAAAUCAAAUGGCCGGGUCGUAUGGUUUUGUAGCUCGCAAACCACCUGCAAGAAACCGGGUAAAAAUUUUGUAUGUGCAAAACCAAAAGUCUCUACUGCCAGUCUGUGAUCUUCUAUGGGACCGAACACACACAUCUGACGUGUCCGUCUCAUGCACGGGUUAAAGACUUGGCAAGCGGAAUUUUUCCCAUCCGUAUCGUCAAGUGCUUAAUACAAACAAUUGACGUGACGCGCAAAAUCGAUACGGAUACGGACCAGGAAUUUACGCUUGCCAAAAGUCUCUACUAAAAUUUCCCCCAUAUACUGCCCGUAGUAGGACAUACGGCGGGUCGUGGGCUAGGCUUUAAUUGUACCAUUGCUUGAUAACAACUGAAGCAUCCUAGUCAAAACGUCGCCAAAUCAUUAAUUGUGAAUAUUUGUACCAUUGCUUGAUCAAGACUAAUCAGAAAUUGCAAACCAUAUUUAGAAUUGUGCCCUGUAUAUUUGUACCAUUGCUUGACAAAGACUAAUCAGAAAUUGCAAACCAUAUUUAGAAUUGUGCCCUGUGUAUUUGUACCAUUGCUUGACAAAGACUAAUCAGAAAUUGCAAACCAUAUUUAGAAUUGUGCCCUGUGUAUUUGUACCAUUGCUUGAUAAAGACUAAUCAGAAAUUGUAUACCAUAUUUAGAAUUGUGCCCUGUUUAUUUGUACCAUUGCUUGAUAAAUAUGGCGGGAUUUAAAGUGAAAGUGUACAAGUAGCUCAGUCACUUAUAUUCUUUUGUUUUAUAUGGCGGUAUAUUAGAUUCAAAAUUCUAAAUUUGUUAAUGUCGUUCUAUGGUCUAAGUUUUAACUUCUAUUUAUGUAAUUUCUAACAAUGUAUAAUCCGAUUUCUUUAUUUGUUCAGGGUAAUCUUUUUAUUUUAAUUCUAUUUCAUCUUAUUACUACCCGGUAUUAUUCAGACGAAAAAUGUCUAGCAUGAACAUCGAAACAAUUUAGAAUUUUGACAUUUCUAAUUAGCAACCAUCACUAUGAAAUUGGAUUAUAAAUUGUCCUACGUUUAGAAAGUACACGAAUAGAAGUUAGAAAUUAAACAAUAGCACGACUUUAACAAAUAUAGAAUUUUGAAUCUAAUAUACCGCCAUAGUUUUAUGUGUGCAUGAUGUCGUAAUGUAAUCUAUGUUAUAUCCGUUGUAAAAACCGCAGUGCAGUCAAACUGUCUGGAUAUUCAGCGUUCUAGAAUUAUUAUUUAUUAUAAGGGUUGUCGCAUUGUUAACAUUUAUCUUGUCUCAAGUUUUUCAUAGAUAUAAAUAUGAAUCUACGUACAUGUUAAUAUAGUGAUAUGAUAUGAUUGACUGAAGAAUUUAUAAUAUUUUUAUUAUAGGACAGCUGUAUGAAAUAAAUCAUAUAUAUGUAUAUAUA
Long non-coding RNA from Patella vulgata (common limpet), 7208 nucleotides. RefSeq lists it as uncharacterized. Lineage: Eukaryota; Metazoa; Mollusca; Gastropoda; Patellidae. The transcript is spliced from 5 exons. The record is from RefSeq and is a predicted model, not a curated record.